This 141-nucleotide ribosomal RNA is filed under the name uncultured methanogenic archaeon. Its description in RNAcentral is "partial 16S ribosomal RNA". It matches the Rfam family "Archaeal small subunit ribosomal RNA", at positions 332 to 473 of the family's 1478-position model. The record is from RNAcentral. Lineage: Archaea; Methanobacteriati; Methanobacteriota.
GCAGCAGGCGCGAAAACUUUACACUGCGGGAAACCGCGAUAAGGGGACCCCGAGUGCCAGCACCUAGUGCUGGCUGUCCAGCUGUUCAAAAAACAGUUGUUAGCAAGGGCCGGGCAAGACCGGUGCCAGCCGCCGCGGUAA